RNAcentral lists this ribosomal RNA (469 nucleotides) under uncultured bacterium. Its description in RNAcentral is "bacterial SSU rRNA". It matches the Rfam family "Bacterial small subunit ribosomal RNA", at positions 329 to 795 of the family's 1533-position model. The record is from RNAcentral.
UUCCAGACUCCUACGGGAGGCAGCAGUGAGGAAUAUUGGUCAAUGGCCGAGAGGCUGAACCAGCCAAGUCGCGUGAGGGAUGACGGCCCUACGGGUUGUAAACCUCUUUUGUCGGGGAGCAAAGAGAGUCACGUGUGGCUCAUUGAGAGUGCCCGAAGAAAAAGCAUCGGCUAACUCCGUGCCAGCAGCCGCGGUAAUACGUAGGGGGCAAGCGUUAUCCGGAUUUACUGGGUGUAAAGGGAGCGUAGACGGCAAUACAAGUCGGAAGUGAAAUACCCGGGCUCAACCUGGGAACUGCUUUGGAAACUGUAUGGCUGGAGUGCUGGAGAGGUAAGCGGAAUUCCUAGUGUAGCGGUGAAAUGCGUAGAUAUUAGGAGGAACACCAGUGGCGAAGGCGGCUUACUGGACGGUAACUGACACUGAGGCACGAAAGCGUGGGGAGCAAACAGGAUUAGAUACCCCGGUAGUA